GAAACUACAAAUGAAUUGACGGGGCCGCACAAGCGGUGGAUGAUGUGGUUUAAUUCGAUGCAACGCGAAAAACCUUACCCACCUUUGACAUGGCAGGAAUCCUGAAGGGAUUUGGGAGUGCUCGAAAGAGAACCUGCACACAGGUGCUGCAUGGCUGUCGUCAGCUCGUGUCGUGAGAUGUUGGGUUAAGUCCCGCAACGAGCGCAACCCUUGCCAUUAGUUGCUACGAAAGGGCACUCUAAUGGGACUGCCGGUGACAAACCGGAGGAAGGUGGGGAUGACGUCAAGUCCUCAUGGCCCUUAUAGGUGGGGCUACACACGUCAUACAAUGGCCGGUACAGAGGGUAGCCAACCCGCGAGGGGGAGCCAAUCCCACAAAGCCGGUCGUAGUCCGGAUCGCAGUCUGCAACUCGACUGCGUGAAGUCGGAAUCGCUAGUAAUCGCGGAUCAGCAUGUCGCGGUGAAUACGUUCCCGGGUCUU
RNAcentral lists this ribosomal RNA (481 nucleotides) under uncultured Allobrachymonas sp. RNAcentral's name for it is "bacterial SSU rRNA". It matches the Rfam family "Bacterial small subunit ribosomal RNA", at positions 896 to 1382 of the family's 1533-position model. Lineage: Bacteria; Pseudomonadati; Pseudomonadota; Betaproteobacteria; Burkholderiales; Comamonadaceae. The record is from RNAcentral.